Molecule: ribosomal RNA, 427 nt
Filed under: uncultured beta proteobacterium
Lineage: Bacteria; Pseudomonadati; Pseudomonadota; Betaproteobacteria
Description: bacterial SSU rRNA
Rfam family: Bacterial small subunit ribosomal RNA
Source: RNAcentral
UGGGGAAUUUUGGACAAUGGGCGAAAGCCUGAUCCAGCCAUGCCGCGUGAGUGAAGAAGGCCUUCGGGUUGUAAAGCUCUUUUAGUCGGAAAGAAAGAGUUGCAAUGAAUAAUUGUGAUUUAUGACGGUACCGACAGAAAAAGCACCGGCUAACUACGUGCCAGCAGCCGCGGUAAUACGUAGGGUGCGAGCGUUAAUCGGAAUUACUGGGCGUAAAGGGUGCGCAGGCGGUCUUGCAAGUCAGAUGUGAAAGCCCCGGGCUUAACCUGGGAAUUGCGUUUGAAACUACAAGGCUAGAGUGCAGCAGAGGGGAGUGGAAUUCCAUGUGUAGCAGUGAAAUGCGUAGAGAUGUGGAAGAACACCGAUGGCGAAGGCAGCUCUCUGGGUUGACACUGACGCUCAUGCACGAAAGCGUGGGGAGCAAACA